This 351-nucleotide ribosomal RNA is filed under the name uncultured bacterium. Its description in RNAcentral is "bacterial SSU rRNA". It matches the Rfam family "Bacterial small subunit ribosomal RNA", at positions 28 to 334 of the family's 1533-position model. The record is from RNAcentral.
GAUGAACGCUGGCGGCAUGCCUAAGACAUGCAAGUCGAACGAGACAGCCCGCAGAAUGAUUGGAAAGUUUGAGAAGCUUGCUUCGAGGACCGGAAGAGAAGGACGCGGAACCUCUGUCUAGUGGCAAACGGGUGAGUAACACGUGGGUAACCUACCUUCUUGUUGGGGAUACCAGUUGGAAACGACUGUUAAUACCGAAUACGCUCUACGGAGUAAAGUACCUUUCGGGGUAUGCAAGGAGAUGGGCCUGCGGUGCAUUAGAUAGUUGGUGGGGUAAGAGCCUACCAAGUCAACGAUGCAUAGCUGAACUGAGAGGUUGAUCGGCCACACUGGGACUGAGACACGGCCCAG